AGAGUUUGAUCAUGGCUCAGGACGAACGCUGGCGGCGUGCCUAACACAUGCAAGUCGAACGGAAUCCAAGGAGUGCUUGCACUCCUGAAGAUUGAGUGGCGAACGGGUGAGUAACACGUGAGAAACCUGCCCCGGACUCUGGGAUAACCCAAGGAAACUUGAGCUAAUACCGGAUACCCUCUGAUGGUCGCAUGGCCGUUUGAGGAAAGUUUUUCGGUCUGGGAGGGUCUCGCGGCCUAUCAGCUAGUUGGUGAGGUAACGGCUCACCAAGGCGACGACGGGUAGCUGGUUUGAGAGAACGAUCAGCCACACUGGAACUGAGACACGGUCCAGACUCCUACGGGAGGCAGCAGUGGGGAAUCUUGCGCAAUGGGCGAAAGCCUGACGCAGCAACGCCGCGUGCGGGAUGAAGGCCCUCGGGUUGUAAACCGCUUUCAGCAGGGACGAAAAUGACGGUACCUGCAGAAGAAGCCCCGGCUAACUACGUGCCAGCAGCCGCGGUAAUACGUAGGGGGCAAGCGUUGCCCGGAUUUAUUGGGCGUAAAGAGCUCGUAGGCGGUUCCGUAAGUCGAGUGUGAAAAAUCUGGGCUCAACCCAGUGGAGCACUCGAUACUGCGGUGACUGGAGUACGGUAGAGGAGUGUGGAAUUCCUGGUGUAGCGGUGAAAUGCGCAGAUAUCAGGAGGAACACCAACGGCGAAGGCAGCACUCUGGGCCGGUACUGACGCUGAGGAGCGAAAGCGUGGGGAGCAAACAGGAUUAGAUACCCCAGUAGUCC
This 777-nucleotide ribosomal RNA is filed under the name uncultured bacterium. RNAcentral's name for it is "bacterial SSU rRNA". It matches the Rfam family "Bacterial small subunit ribosomal RNA", at positions 8 to 796 of the family's 1533-position model. The record is from RNAcentral.